GUAGCUCAGCUGGAUAGAGCAGCCGCCUUCUAAGCGGCCGAUUGCAAGCUCCGCCGGCACGCUUUGUCCUUU
This 72-nucleotide transfer RNA is filed under the name Methylobacterium sp. OAE515. RNAcentral's name for it is "tRNA-Arg". Lineage: Bacteria; Pseudomonadati; Pseudomonadota; Alphaproteobacteria; Hyphomicrobiales; Methylobacteriaceae. The record is from RNAcentral.